GNGGCCUCGGAUCGAGCGAGAUUACCCGCUGAACUUAAGCAUAUCACUAAGCGGAGGAAAAGAAACCNACCGGGAUUCCCUCAGUAGCGACGAGCGAAGCGGNAAGAGCCCAUCGCCGAGAAUCCCCCGCUCGGACCUCGGCCGUUCGGGAAUUGUGGCKUAAGGGUCCGACUCGUCAGGCGUCUGACCGUCCGAACAAGUCCCGCGGGACAGGUGUGCUCCCAGAGUGGGUGUGAGGCCUUUAGUUCGGUCUGGGUCUUCUGCCCGGCGCAGUCGGUACCUGCGAGUCGAGUUGCUUGGGAUCGCNGCUCAAAGCGGGU
RNAcentral lists this ribosomal RNA (320 nucleotides) under Patella vulgata (common limpet). RNAcentral describes it as "eukaryotic LSU rRNA". It matches the Rfam family "Eukaryotic large subunit ribosomal RNA", at positions 1 to 297 of the family's 3401-position model. The record is from RNAcentral. Lineage: Eukaryota; Metazoa; Mollusca; Gastropoda; Patellidae.